CAUGCAAAAUGUUCUAUCGCGUUACACUGGUUGUAAUGAGGAAAGUCUGGGCAACACAGAGCAGCAUACUACCUAACGGGUAGGCGGUUAAUUUAACUAUUAACUGACAGACAGUGCUAAAGAAAAUUAAACUACCAGUAUGCAAAUAUUGGAAAAGGUGAAAAGGUGGUGUAAGAGACCACCGGGUAUUUGGUAACAAGUAUUGCAAGGUAAACCUUAUGCGUUGCAAGGUCAAAUAGGUUGUAUCAGACUUCGGUCUAAAAGGUGGCUCGCUUUUAUAUACAAUGGGUAGACUGCAAUAGAUUAUGCCAGUGAUGGUAUAGCAAGAUAAAUGAUAGAAUUUAAUGGAAUACAAAUUCAAUUAAAACAGAACCCGGCUUAUAGUUUUGCAAUAAAA
RNAcentral lists this RNase P RNA (397 nucleotides) under Bacteroidia bacterium. Its description in RNAcentral is "RNase P RNA component class A". It matches the Rfam family "Bacterial RNase P class A". Rfam says of the family: Ribonuclease P (RNase P) is a ubiquitous endoribonuclease, found in archaea, bacteria and eukarya as well as chloroplasts and mitochondria. Its best characterised activity is the generation of mature 5'-ends of tRNAs by cleaving the 5'-leader elements of precursor-tRNAs. The record is from RNAcentral. Lineage: Bacteria; Pseudomonadati; Bacteroidota; Bacteroidia.